GGUGGCUCAGUGGUAGAGCACUUGCUUUGCCUGCAUGAGGUCCUGGGUUCGAUUCCUCAGCACCA
Non-coding RNA from Dipodomys ordii (Ord's kangaroo rat), 65 nucleotides. Lineage: Eukaryota; Metazoa; Chordata; Mammalia; Rodentia; Heteromyidae. The record is from Rfam.